GCGCGAAAACUCCACAAUGUACGCAAGUACGAUGGGGUUACCUUGAGUGCAGUCUGAAAAAGGUUGCUUUUCCAUAGAGUAAUAUCCUAUGGGAAUAAGAGGGGGGCAAGACUGGUGUCAGCCGCCGCGGUAACACCAGCCCCUCGAGUGGUGGGGACUUUUAUUUGGCCUAAAGCGUCCGUAGCUGGCUGUUUCCGUCCCCCGUUAAAUCCAGCGUCUCAAGCGUUGGACUGCGGGUGAUACCAAACAGCUAGAGGGUGGGAGAGGUCAGCGGUAUUUCUGGGGUAGGGGCGAAAUCCUUUGAUCCCAGGAGGACCACCAGUGGCGAAGGCUGCUGACUAGAACACGCCUGACGGUCAGGGACGAAAGCUGGGGCAGCGAACCGG
Molecule: ribosomal RNA, 386 nt
Filed under: uncultured crenarchaeote
Lineage: Archaea; Thermoproteati; Thermoproteota
Description: bacterial SSU rRNA
Rfam family: Archaeal small subunit ribosomal RNA
Source: RNAcentral